UCCCGACCUCUCAUUUUAGGUCUUCAUGGA
RNAcentral lists this non-coding RNA (30 nucleotides) under Rattus norvegicus (Norway rat). Lineage: Eukaryota; Metazoa; Chordata; Mammalia; Rodentia; Muridae. The record is from RNAcentral.